GAUGAACGCUGGCGGCGUGCCUAAUACAUGCAAGUAGAACGCUGAAGGAAGGAGCUUGCUCUUUCCGGAUGAGUUGCGAACGGGUGAGUAACGCGUAGGUAACCUGCCUGGUAGCGGGGGAUAACUAUUGGAAACGAUAGCUAAUACCGCAUAACAGUAGAUGUUGCAUGAUAUCUACUUAAAAGGUGCAAUUGCACCACUACCAGAUGGACCUGCGUUGUAUUAGCUAGUUGGUGAGGUAACGGCUCACCAAGGCGACGAUACAUAGCCGCACUGAGAGGGUGAUCGGCCACACUGGGACUGAGACACGGCCCAGACUCCUACGGGAGGCAGCAGUAGGGAAACUUCGGGCAUGGACGGAAGUCUGACCGAGAAACGCCGCGGGAGUGAAGAAGGUUUUCGGAUCGGAAAGCUCUGUCGUAAGAGAAGAACGAGUGUGAGAGUGGAAAGUUCACACUGUGACGGUAUCUUACCAGAAAGGGACGGCUAACUACGUG
Molecule: ribosomal RNA, 497 nt
Filed under: uncultured bacterium
Lineage: Bacteria
Description: partial 16S ribosomal RNA
Rfam family: Bacterial small subunit ribosomal RNA
Source: RNAcentral